AAACCAGUCUGUCGGUGUCAUACCAACCUAGGACAGUGGUGCUGAAAUUUGCACUAAGAGUGAUUCCAAAUGGGGUACUCCACUCACAGCCCAAAUACCGCUUACAUCAGUGCUCAUGUGCUGGAUGGAGAGAGAAAGGUCCUUUGCUGCCCAUUGAACACAGCCCAGACCUUUGAGAAUAUUCCGUUUCCCAAGAUGAAGAAAAAUAAUCGUUCCAAUGUGUAUUUGAGAUUCUGCUGUCAGAGGCUUUUCUGCUUUCACUCAGGCUCAGUCCUGAGAUGGCUGUUAACUUCAGUAAAGGUGUGAUUGCUCUGUGCUGGUCUGAAACCUCAAGUUACAGAAGCCCAGUGGGAAGAGGGAAAGAGUUAAAUGGAUGGUGAGUGCUUUUCAAAGCCACAUAUGGGCCCCUAAUGGGAAUUAUGUGGAUGUGGGUGGGCUCUAAGCUAGGAGUCUAAUGUUCAGCUGGCAAAUCGAUGCUCAUUAUCCAUGGUCCUCCCUACCCUAAGUCACCACCUGGGAAUCAAGCUAGCGCCUAAACAAAGAAAUUUGGAGUCUAAAUAUGGACUCUUGUUUUCAAAACUAUGUAUUGACUUAGAUAACAUCUGAAUGGACUAAUAGACACUGUUUAGCUCUACACACUUUCAGUAUGCAAUUAAAAAAUACAGUAGCUUCCAUCCUAAUUUUGGUAACUGACAGUUACAAUUAUGAACAUUGAGAGGAAUAAUAUUUUGC
This 732-nucleotide long non-coding RNA is filed under the name Parus major (Great Tit). RNAcentral describes it as "lncRNA (ENSPMJG00000017207.1)". The record is from RNAcentral. Lineage: Eukaryota; Metazoa; Chordata; Aves; Passeriformes; Paridae.